AAAUGAAUUGACGGGGGCCCGCACAAGCGGUGGAGCAUGUGGUUUAAUUCGAUGCAACGCGAAGAACCUUACCUGGUCUUGACAUAGUAAGAACUUUCCAGAGAUGGAUUGGUGCCUUCGGGAACUUACAUACAGGUGCUGCAUGGGUGUCGUCAGCUCGUGUCGUGAGAUGUUGGGUUAAGUCCCGCAACGAGCGCAACCCUUUUCCUUAUUUGCCAGCGGGUUAAGCCGGGAACUUUAAGGAUACUGCCAGUGACAAACUGGAGGAAGGCGGGGACGACGUCAAGUCAUCAUGGCCCUUACGACCAGGGCUACACACGUGCUACAAUGGUCGGUACAAAGGGUUGCUACCUAGCGAUAGGAUGCUAAUCUCAAAAAGCCGAUCGUAGUCCGGAUUGGAGU
This 402-nucleotide ribosomal RNA is filed under the name uncultured bacterium. RNAcentral's name for it is "bacterial SSU rRNA". It matches the Rfam family "Bacterial small subunit ribosomal RNA", at positions 903 to 1304 of the family's 1533-position model. The record is from RNAcentral.